GCUCUGACCCGGUUCAGUCAGGGAGAGGAUAGGACCAGAAGCAGAUCAGGUCCAACAAAGACACCCUGGAGUUCUUGUCCAACUCGGUCCAGGUUCUGACCCGUCCUCUGUUGUCAUAGUAACGCUCAGGUUGUACCAUAGUCAGCUCCCCAGACUGUUCAGUGAAUAGUUUCCUUGACAACCGGUGAUGUCACAUCUCUGUAUGAUGUCACAUAGGUAAACAGAGAGGUCAUAAAGCCAGCAGCUGCGGUUUCAGGUGGUUCUGGGUCGGGUCAGAACCUGAUGCACCUUAUCUCCACACCUGCUGACAUCAUCGCCAGCCGGCCAAUCACUGACCCUUUUCAUUAGUGAAUAACCUCAGAGCUGCAGCAACCACCUGUUCCUCAGGUGAUCUCAGUGCUUCCUGGUUCUGGUUCUGCAGCUGGACCUCGGGUCACUGUGGGUUAACCGACCAGGAAGCAGCUCUUUUGGAACUGGACCGGCCCACACGAAUCUGUCAUGAACCAGCCCAGGACUGGUUCUGACCCUACAGCAGGCUCAAUCUUUGUGGUUCUGAUCCGGUUCCUGAGGCGAGAUGAAUCGGGUCAGAGCGAGCUCUUCCUAGUCCGAUUCGGAGAAGCACAGGAAGUUUGUGUUGCUCCGGCCUUUACUAACCUUCUGGGGACCAAAGCCGGGUCAGAGGUGUUGUACCAGGUACAUCCUAACCUGAAGUCCCAGCAGGAGGCGCUGCAGUACAUCGAGGACCUGAUCCUGCAGCUGCUCAGCAUGCUGUGUCAGGCUCAGCCGCGCAGCGUGCAGGACGUGGAGGAGCGGGUCCAGAGGAGUUUCCCUCACCCCAUUGAUAAGUGGGCAAUCGCCGAUGCUCUGGCUGCCAUCGAGAAGAAGAAGAGGAAGAACCCGCUGGCACUUCCUGUCGACAAGAUCCACCCCCUGCUCAAGGAGGUGUUGGGCUAUAAACUCGACCAUCAGGUCUGCGUCUACAUGGUCGCCGUUCUGGAGUAUAUCUCGGCAGACAUCUUGAAGCUGGCGGGGAAUUACGUCAGGAACAUCCGCCAUGAUGACAUCACCAAGCAGGACAUCACUGUGGCGAUGUGCGCCGACAAGGUUCUGAUGGACAUGUUCCACCAGGACGAGGAGGACAUGGGUCUGUUCCCGCUGCUGGACGAGGAGCCGUCGGCCAAUGAGGAGCAGCGAUACUGCGACCUGGUCCGGAGCUUCCUGGCUGACGGACACCAGUACCUGAGGCAGCUGCACCUGUUGCUCAAGGUGUUCAGGGAGCCCUUCGCCUCCUGCCCCGCCCUCUUCUCCACACAGGACGUGGACAGCAUCUUUGGCCGCCUGGCGGACAUCCAGGAAGUGACGGUGAAGCUGCUGGGCCUGCUGGAGGACACGGUGGAGAUGACGGACGAGGGGAGCCCACACCCACUGGUGGGCAGCUGCUUUGAGGACCUGGCAGAGGAGUUGGCCUUUGACCCCUAUGAGGCGUAUGCUCAGGAAGUCCUGCAUCCUGCCUUCCACGAACACUUCCUGGAUCUAGUGACCAAACCUGGAGCCUCUGUCCAUCUGCAGUCCAUCUGCGACGGAUUUAAAGAAGCCGUCCGCUACGUCCUGCCCAGGCUGCUGCUGACCCCCGUCUACCACUGCCUCCACCUGCUGGACACACUGAAGCAACUGGAGGAGCGCAGCGAGGAUGAGGAGGAUAAGGAGUGUCUUCGUCAGGCCAUCACGGCGCUGCUGAACCUGCAGAGCAGCUUGGAGAGGAUCUGCUCCAGGAGCCUGGCCAAGCGGAGACUCAGCGAGCCGGCCUGCCGGCUCCACAGCCAGCAGGUAAAGAGUAAGCACCUGGCCAUUAGGAGGAUGAAGGAUGUCCAGCGGAGCAUCGACGGCUGGGAGGGGGCGGACAUUGUCCAGUGCUGUAACGAGUUUAUCAUGGAGGGCACGUUGAGCCGCGUCGGUGCCAAGCACGAGCGCCACAUCUUCCUGUUCGACGGUCUGAUGAUCAGCUGCAAGGCUGGCCACGCGCCUCCGCGGCUGCCCGGCGCUGCCGCCGCCGAGUUCCGCCUCAAGGAGAAGUUCUUGAUGCGGAAGGUCCGGGUGGUGGACCGGGAGGACCGGGACGGCGAGUGGCGCCACGCCUUCGAGGUGGCGCCGAAGGACGGCGGCGGCGUGCUGUUCGCCGCCAAGUCAGCAGAGGAGAAGAACGGGUGGAUGGCGGCGCUGGUGUCGCUGCAGUACCGCGGCACGCUGGAGCGCAUGCUGGACCAGGCGCUGCUGCAGGACGAGGAGCAGCAGAUGCGGCUGCCGUCGGUCCAGCGGUACCGCUUCGCCGAACCCGAUUCGGACCAGAACGUUGUGUUUGAGGACAGCGUCCAGUCCAAGUCUGGCAUCCCCGUCAUUAAAGCCGGGACAGUCCUGAAGCUCAUCGAGAGGCUCACCUUCCACCUAUACGCAGAUCCAAACUUUGUCCGGACCUUUCUGACCACGUACAGGUCCUUCUGCCGGCCCGGGGAGCUGCUGGACCUGCUGGUAGAGAGGUUUGACAUUCCUGAGCCAGCGCCGGCCGAAUCGGACCCGACAGACGGGUUGGAGCAGGUUCUCAGCGCCGACCUAAAACGGUUCCGUAAAGAGUUUGUUCAGCCGGUCCAGCUCAGGGUUCUGAACGUGUGCCGCCACUGGGUAGAGCAUCACUUCUACGACUUCGAGCGAGAUCCGGGUCUGCUGAGCCGACUGGAGGACUUCAUCGCUUCGGUCAGAGGGAAGGCCAUGAGGAAAUGGGUGGAGUCCAUCACUAAGAUCAUCCAGAGGAAGCAGCAGGUGCAGGUGAGCCAGGUGAGCCCCCCCCCCAGCAUCACCUUCCAGAACUCGCCCCCCCCCAUCGAGUGGCACCUCUGCAGGCAAGGAGCCAUUGAGACCUUUGACCUCAUGACCCUUCACCCCAUUGAGAUCGCCCGCCAGCUGACGCUGCUCGAGUCUGACUUCUACAGGGCGGUGCGUCCGUCAGAGCUGGUGGGAAGUGUCUGGACCAAGGAGGACAAGGAGCUGCACUCGCCCAACCUGCUGAGGAUGAUCCGGCACACCACCAACCUCACACUGUGGCUGGAGAAGUGCAUUGUUGAGACGGAGAACCUGGAGGAGCGGGUUGCCGUGGUUUCUCGGAUCAUCGAGAUCUUACAGGUUUUUCAGGAACUGAAUAACUUCAACGGCGUUCUGGAAGUGGUCAGCGCCAUGAACUCCUCACCUGUCUAUAGACUGGACCACACUUUCGAGCAAAUCCCGAGUCGCCAGAGGAAGAUCCUGGAAGAAGCUCAUGAGCUGAGUGAAGAUCACUACAAGAAAUACCUGGCCAAGCUGCGCUCCAUCAACCCGCCCUGCGUCCCGUUCUUUGGGAUCUAUCUGACCAACAUCCUGAAGACGGAGGAGGGAAACCCGGACUUCCUGCGGCGACACGGCAAAGACCUGAUCAACUUCAGCAAGAGGCGGAAAGUGGCAGAGAUCACUGGAGAGAUCCAACAGUACCAGAACCAGCCUUACUGCCUGAGCGUGGAGCCCGACAUCAGGAAGUUCUUGGAGAACCUGAACCCGAUGGAGGACCUGUCCGAGAAGGACUUUGCUGAUCAUCUCUUCAACAAGUCCUUGGAGAUCGAACCUCGAAACACGCGGUCGUUGCCUCGUUUCGUGAAGCGGUACACCUGUCCUCUGAAGUCCCCGGGAAUCAGACCCACGUCCGCAAGGGUCGGCUCCAUGAGACAUCCCACCCCACUGCAGAACGAGCCCAGGAAGAUCAGCUACAACCGGGUCACCGACAGCGAGUCUGAAGGUGGUGUCAUCUCUGCUCCCAACUCCCCCCGCACGCCGCUGACUCCGCCCCCGGCCUCUGCGUCCAGCUCCACAGAUGUGGGCAGCGUGUUCGACUCGCCUCAGGGUCCAAGCAGCCCCUUCCACUCAAAGUCCAAGGUUUACGUGGGGAACCUGGGAACCGGCGCCGGGAAGGCCGAGCUGGAGCGGGCCUUUGGGUACUACGGGCCUCUCAGAACCGUCUGGAUCGCCAGGAACCCGCCGGGCUUUGCCUUUGUGGAAUUUGAAGAUUCCAGGGAUGCCGAGGACGCCGUCCGAGGGCUGGAUGGGAAGGUGAUCUGCGGCAGCCGGGUCCGGGUGGAGCCAUCCAACGGGAUGCCGCGGCGUUCCCGCUACGAGAGGCCGCCGCCACGGCGACCGUUUGACCCCGACGACAAGUGCUAUGAGUGUGGACAGAAAGGCCACUACGCCUACGACUGCCACCGCUACGGCCGCCGCGGCCACCGCAGCAGGUCCCGGUCUAGGUCCCGGUCCCGAUCCCGGUCCCGGGGGAGGCGGUAUUCCCGGAGCCGGAGUCGCAGCCGGAGUCGAGGGAGGAGAUCCAGGUCCUCUCCUCGGCGAUCCAGGUCCAGCUCACCCAGAAGGUCCAGGUCCGGUUCACCCAGAAGGCUGCGGUCUGGUUCUCCUGGGAGGUCCCGGUCCCGGUCGGUGUCAAAGUGCCGCAGCAGGUCUGGAUCCAUGGGCCGGUCUCAUUCCGGAUCUCGAGCCAGAAGGUGAGACCAGAGGGCAGUUAUAGAGGUCAUGGAGGUCAUGGAGGUCAUCAAGGGCGGUCCUGUCCAUAGACAUGAAUUCGUAGAUGCCUCAUUGAGCGGAUCGGCCCGUGCGAUACUCGCUCGGCCUCCAGGACUCCUGCUGACAACUGACUUCCUGUUUGCUCUCUGAUGUUUUGUACGAACUCACUCUGUUGUGUAGCAGCUCUGUGAUUAUUGAUUAUUAAUUAGUGACUAUUGGUUUCUGAUCAGCCUGCUUUGGUUCCUCAGCUGUUUACUUCCUGCAAUGAUCUGUUAAUAAAAGUUUAUCAUUCAAA
This is an RNA transcript of Gambusia affinis (western mosquitofish), 4882 nucleotides long. It is a transcript of the gene named serine/arginine-rich splicing factor 7-like, with no coding region annotated. Lineage: Eukaryota; Metazoa; Chordata; Actinopteri; Cyprinodontiformes; Poeciliidae. The transcript is spliced from 27 exons. The record is from RefSeq and is a predicted model, not a curated record.